This 835-nucleotide ribosomal RNA is filed under the name uncultured bacterium. RNAcentral describes it as "bacterial SSU rRNA". It matches the Rfam family "Bacterial small subunit ribosomal RNA", at positions 590 to 1426 of the family's 1533-position model. The record is from RNAcentral.
GGAUGUGAANUCCCCGGGCUCAACCUGGGAACUGCGUUNUGAACUGGGUAGCUAGAGUAUGUCAGAGGGGGGUAGAAUUCCACGUGUAGCAGUGAAAUGCGUAGAGAUGUGGAGGAAUACCGAUGGCGAAGGCAGCCCCCUGGGAUAAUACUGACGUUCAUGCUCGAAAGCGUGGGUAGCAAACAGGAUUAGAUACCCUGGUAGUCCACGCCCUAAACGAUGUCGAUUAGCUGUUGGGCAGCUUGACUGCUUAGUAGCGUAGCUAACGCGUGAAAUCGACCGUCUGGGGAGUACGGUCGCAAGAUUAAAACUCAAAGGAAUUGACGGGGACCCGCACAAGCGGUGGAUGAUGUGGAUUAAUUCGAUGCAACGCGAAGAACCUUACCUGGUCUUGACAUGUACGGAACCUUCCAGAGACGGAAGGGUGCCUUCGGGAGCCGUAACACAGGUGCUGCAUGGCUGUCGUCAGCUCGUGUCGUGAGAUGUUGGGUUAAGUCCCGCAACGAGCGCAACCCUUGUCAUUAGUUGCCAUCAUUCAGUUGGGCACUCUAAUGAGACUGCCGGUGACAAACCGGAGGAAGGUGGGGAUGACGUCAAGUCCUCAUGGCCCUUAUGACCAGGGCUUCACACGUCAUACAAUGGUCGGUACAAAGGGUAGCCAAGCCGCGAGGCGGAGCCAAUCUCAUAAAACCGAUCGUAGUCCGGAUUGCACUCUGCAACUCGAGUGCAUGAAGUCGGAAUCGCUAGUAAUCGCAGGUCAGCAUACUGCGGUGAAUACGUUCCCGGGUCUUGUACACACCGCCCGUCACACCAUGGGAGUGGGGGAUACCAGAAG